This 713-nucleotide long non-coding RNA is filed under the name Rattus norvegicus (Norway rat). RNAcentral's name for it is "long non-coding RNA NONRATT029577". The record is from RNAcentral. Lineage: Eukaryota; Metazoa; Chordata; Mammalia; Rodentia; Muridae.
GGAAGGACAACUGGACAGACACUGAAAUGCAUAACAAAGAAGACAGAGCCGUCCUAUUCAAGGAUAUGGAGAAGACUUUUUAGACUAUCUAGGUUGCAACAUUGGAUCGUUUGAAAACAGUUUGAACUGCGUUUAUGCUUGUGAGUCUAGAAUGACGUAAUAUUCUCAUGUAAGUCAGGCCUCCCCAGCUAUCUGCUCAACCCUCCGUCACGAAAAGGGUUCACAUGAGAUAAGCCAGGUCUUACCCAUGAAGUCUAACCGGUUGAACCAACCCAGCAAGAAUUCAAGGGAUAUGAAUAGGUAGUAAGGCUGCCUUAGCAUGUCUUGAUAAAGCAUGAGCUACAUAUGACACACAGAGUACAUAGCAUAGGGGGCCACUGACAUAGUGAUAUACAUAUAUGAAUAUAUAUUUAUGAAUUUUCCUCUCAUCUCCACACUUAUUUAUACAUAUCCACUUACAGUUAAGACCACGUGACUACUUCAAACCACUGGAAAGAGGGGGAAAGAAACCAUGCCACUUUCAAGCCAACUUGCCUUGCAAGGACUAGGUCCACCCACCUCGUUUUCUGCCAUAGACUGGAAACAACUUACCAAUCUAAGAAGUCGUGCACUUACUAUGCCCAAUACCUUCUCCACCCCAUCUCCUGAAUAAAUAAAUAAAGAGCCCUUGGCCCACCUGAAACUAACCAGGAUUGUUGACAUCAAAAAAAAAA